This is a non-coding RNA of Euryarchaeota archaeon 55_53, 94 nucleotides long. Lineage: Archaea; Methanobacteriati; Methanobacteriota. The record is from Rfam.
CUGACGGCAGCGCAUGGGUCGAACUCGGACUCGAGAGCCCAGCUCCACUCAGAAACCCGAAAGGUGUGAAGGUGGGGCAGCGCAUAGACGUCAG